AGACCCAGGACAGCUGUCAGCCGGGACAGGCUGCACCUGGGCUCAGAGCUCAGUUGGGUCAGCUGGGCCUGUGCCCCUCCCUCUGACCCGAGGUGAGGGAGAGACAGCCUGGGAUGAAGGCAAGGCAGUCCUCCAGGGUCAGCACCCCUUCUGCAUUCUGCAUGCCUGCUAGCGGUCACUGCUCUGGUGCCUCCCCAAGCCUCUUUUGUCCAUUGGCCCCAGGGUCGCCGGAGUGGAGAUGCUGACACUUUGAUGAGAGUUUCUGGCUUGAGCAGUCACCUGAGUGGUCCAGGAGCCUGGCUGGGAGAAGAUGGAAGCCUACAUUCUAGCUGUAGUUUUGUCUCUGGCUGAUUAAGUGAUGUUGGUUAAGUCUUACCCCUUUCAGCCUCAGCUUCCCCACUCAUGAAAAGUAAUGUAAACUGCUUCUCAGUGAUGCUAUAUUGGCAUUUCAGGGGGGUCAAG
Long non-coding RNA from Bubalus bubalis (water buffalo), 462 nucleotides. RefSeq lists it as uncharacterized. Lineage: Eukaryota; Metazoa; Chordata; Mammalia; Artiodactyla; Bovidae. The record is from RefSeq and is a predicted model, not a curated record. The transcript has 2 exons.